AAUUGGGGCUCAAUCCCAUGAUCCUGGGAUCAUGGCCUGAGCCAAAAUCAAGAGUCGAAAUCUCAAGCGAUUGAGCCAUCCAGAUGCCCCUGUCUGUCACCCAGUGCCUUUGACUUGAGCAUUUAUUCUGUUUCCAUUCAAAGUAAUUGAUAGACAUGUACUUGUCCUUUUAUUACUUGAUGUUUCUGAAUCUUUCUGAUCCUUUCUUCUCUUUCUCUUUUUUAUGGUUUUCUGGGUUUCUUUAGUAGCACAGUUGAAAUUGCUUGUCUUUAUAUUCUGCAUAUGUAUUAGUGGUGUUUGAUUUGUGGUUAUUAUUAGGUUUGUACCUAGCCACUUCUGCAUAUAGAAGUCUAUAUUAAGCUGAUAGUUGUUUAAGUUUGAACCAGUUCUUUACUCCUCUCCUCCCCGUGUUGUAGAUAUGUAGUGUUCAUAUGUCAAAACCUUUCAUAUUGUGAAUACUUUGACUGGUGUUUUACAGAUAUACUCAUUUUUAUUGCUUUUGCGUUUCACCCUUUAAUACUGUCAAUUUAGGUAUUUCUUUUCCACUUAAAGAGUCCCCUUUAACAUUUCUUGCAGGGGUGGUUUGUUGGUUGUGAACUCGCUUAGUAUUUAUUUGGGAACCUCUUGAUCUCUCCUUCUAUCUGAAUGAUAGUGUGCUGGAUAGACUCUCUUUGGCUGCAGAUGUUUUACAUUCAGCACCUUCACCAUACCAUGCUGCUUACUUACGGUUUCAAAGUUUCUUCUGAAAAACAUCCAGUGAUAAUCUUAUGGGGUAUCCCUUGUAGGUAACUGUCAUCUUUUGUUUUCCUGCUGUUAAAAUUUUUCUUUAUCAUGACAUUUUGUGUUUUAAUUACUAUAUGACUUGGUGUGGAUCUGCUUCUGUUGAAUAUAUUGGGGGUUCUUUGUGCGUCCUGCUUCUGGAUCUAUUUCCUUCCCCGCAUUAGGGAAGUUUUCAUCUAUUUUGUCUUCAAAUAAAAUUUCUGGUUCUAUUUCUCAAGUUCUGAGAAUGACAGAUAGGACAGGAAAGACCUGUUGAAGGUUCUCUGAUGAGUCACUGGAUUUGCAUGCGUGGAGGAUAGAUUUGGGACUCAAAUGAACAAACUACUUUUAACUUCAAAGAACUAGAAAAAAACAACAGUCUACGUCCAAUGUUCUCAGAAGGGAGACAGUAAUACAUAUGGGAGUGGAAACCAAUGAAAUUGAGACCAUGAAAUCAAUAGAAAAUAUGAAGAGGACCAACAGUGGGUUUUCUGAAGAGUGAAACAAAAUUGACAAGACUGUACAUAGACUAUGCUAAGACAGAGAGAGGACCCAAAUCAAAAGAAUUGUAAAUGAAAGAGAAGACAUUACAUCUGAUACCACAGAAACAUAAAGGAGACAAAGAGGCGACUAUGGCCAAAUUAGAGGCCAGCAAACCGACUACCUAGAAGAAAUGAAUAGGCUCUUAGAAACACGCAACCUACCAAGACUGUAUCAGGAAGAAAUAGAAGGUUUGCACAGACCCAUUAAAGGAAGACUGUACCAGUACAAGAAGAUAACCAAUGCAAGUAAAUUGAAUCAGUAAUUGAAAUUCUCUCAGGGGAAAAAAGCCCAGGACCAGGUGGAUUCACUGGUGAAUUUGACCAAACGUUUGUAGAAGAAACUAACAGCAGUUCUCUCACUGAUUCAAAAGGAAUGAACACCACCAAACUCAUUUCAUGAGACUGGAAUUACCCUGGUAGGAAGCCAGAAAAGGAUACUACCUGAACAGAAAACUAUAGGCCAGUAUCCCCGUGAUGAAUAUAGAUGAAAAAUUCCCAAUAAUGUACAGGCAAACCAAAUUCAGCAUCACAUGAAAAGGAUCAUUGACCGUGAUGAAGGGUUUUUUCCCUGUAAAGGAAGGAUGUUUCAGAAAUGCAAAUCAAUAAAUGUGUCCCCUCACAUAAUUGAAUGAAAUAAAAAUGAACCAGAAACAAGACUCUUAACUAUAAAUAGCAAAUGGAGGGUUACUAGAAGGGAGGUGGGCAGGGGGAUGGGUUAAAUGGGUGAUGGGCUAAGGAGGGCGCUAGUAGUGAGGAACACUGGGUGUUGUAUGUAAGUGAUGGAUGACUACAUUCUAUUCCUGAAACUAAUAUUACACUGUAUGUUAACCAACUGGCAUUUAAAUAGAAACUUGAAAAAAUAAAUACUAAAGAAAUACAUAAAUAAAUUUAAACUAAACUAAAUAAAUACAUUUCAAAAAUUAAACAGAAAACUCAUGGGACGAUGUCAAUAGACACAGAAAAAUGUUCUGAGAAAAUUUGGUAUCCAUUUGUGCUAAAAAAAAAAAACUCUUAAAAAAUUCAGUGUAGAAGGAACAUAUCUCAACAUAAGAAAGGCCAUGUAUGUGAAGCCCACAGCUAACAUCAUGCUCAAUAAUGAAAUUGUGAAAGAUUUUCCUCUAAGAUCAGGCACAAGACAAGGAUGCCAUAGGUAUGUGAAAGGGGUUGGGUGAUGCAGGCUUCUGGUUAUGGAAUGAAUAAAUCACAGAUAGAAGAUAUAGUAUAGGGAGCAUAGAGAAUGGUACCGGAAUAGUGAUGCAUGGUGACAGAUGAUAGCUACACCUGGGUUAGCAGAAUGUAUACACUUGUCCAAUCACUAUGUUGUUCAUCUGAAACUAAUGUAACAUAGUGUGUCAGCUAUUCCCAAAUAAAAUGAUUGUUUUAAAUAAGGUAAAGGAAUGAAAUAAAAAGUUUAAUGUAAAAGAAUCUGUUAAUAUCUAAUCAAGAAAUGCAGUAAAGUUGCAAAAUAGAAAGUCACCAUAUCAAAUACUGUAGCAUUCCUAUACACUAACCAAAUAAUCUAAAAAGAAGUAGAGAAAAAACCCCAUUUACAACAGCAUCAAAAACAAUAAAAUAUAUAGGAAUAAAUUUAGCCAAGGAAGCGAAAGAUCUUUCUACAGAAAACUAUAAAACCUGUGUGGAGAAAUGGAUGAUAUUCAGUUUGGGUGAAAGAAAUGGGAGAACACACAAGUCAGUAAAAAGCCAUCCCAUGUCCAUCUUUUGGAGGAAUUAAUAUGGAUACAAUGUCCAUACUACCCAAAGCCAUCUAGAGAUUCAGUGCAAUCUCUAUCAAAACUCCAAUGCAAUUUUUAUGCAAUUAGAAAAACAUAUCCUAAAAUGGAUUUGGAACCACAAAAAGACCCCAAGUAGCCAAUGCAAGAAAGAACAAAACAGGAGGCAUCACACUUCUUGACUUCAAGCUGCAUUCUAACACAAAGAAAUCAGUUAUGUCACUGGCAUAAGCACACACACAAGACAAUGGAACAGAAAUUGAGAGCCCAAACUAAACCCAUGCAUGCACAGUCAACUACUAUUUGACAAGGGAGUCAAGAAUACACAGUGGAGAAGAGUAGUCUCUUGAAUAACUGGUGCUGGGAAAAUUGGAUAUUCACAUAUAUGAGAAUAAAGCUUAGCACCUUAUGUUACACCACUCCAAGAAUUAACUUGAAAUGGAUUCAAGAUGUAAAUGAAUGAUACGAAAACAAAAUUCUUUCUCAUCAUUUCACCUCUUAUUAUGCCAAGACAGAGCUGUUGAGGUGGUGAAGGGCUGGGUAGAGAGUCGUCCUGGAAAUAGAAGCCUGUGUGUGUGGAACAGACUUUCUUUAGUAUUCUGGAAUUAUCCCUCUGAUCCUUUAAGACUAGCCACUUCCUUCCCUACAUUUGCAGACACGGCUAGUACCAUGCAUGCUGCCAGCAAUGCACUGCUUUGUCUCCUCAAACUCCUAGAAACUCUAGGUGGCACCCAGUAGGAAGGGUGGAGUUUUGUGGCACUGAUGCUGCCCUGUUGAAACCAGGGGAAGGGGAAGGAGACAGGUACCAUUCCGGCUUCAUUGGUGUUCAGCUAUGUUAGUGUUGGUGUUGGUGUUGGAUUUUUCACCUUUUACCCUAACACAUCUCAAAACUUUAAUUUCUGUCCUGCAGGUCAACGUGUCUUCCAGAACAUUUCCUCCUUUCCCAGAAGUGCCCUCCAUGUCACACCCCAUGGGCUGCCCUUUAUCACCAUCCGUGGGCUUUGGGCUACCCCCACCUUCUCCAACCUGGUGGCCUCUGGGACCUCACCCUCCACCUCCACCAUCUGGAAAGAUGAUCUGAACAGUAUGAGUUGACUUAUAAAACACGUUUUGUCUUUUUACUUGUUGAGUGUUUGGAGAAGAUGCAGUGAUGGCACCACAGGGCUUUCGGGUCAGCCUGAGUGAGGACGUUGCAAUGUUCUUCAAGUUUCUCAGGGCAUGCAUGAAAUGGGCAGUCAUUUCCACAUAGUGAGCUGGGCAACACGUGUCUCUGAUAGAGAAGGAAAGAGGCCUUAUACAGGCUGACAGACAUAGUACUCCCUAGGAUGUAGCUUGUACAGAGACCAUGUGCUGGGCUCUCUGAGGGAUGAGACACACCCCUGACUUUAUUUCUAGCUAGUUGACACCUGAGCUGUUCACAGAUGCUUGAUUAGUUAUAAAAACACCUGAACCAGGGCCCUGUAAACCUUCCUCAAGGGACAGGAUCAGAUCUCCCUCUUGUCCUCAAGGGUCAUCCGAGGCACCAGAAAAACCCUCUGCCCCUGGUAAGGGACUUGAGAGUGUGAAAGAGUUGAAUAUAAUGAAACAUGUGGCGGACGGUUUGUUUUUCUUCCACACAGUCUAUGAAAGUCAGAAUCAGCCUCCAUCCACCUCCAGCCUUUAUGAGACCCAGGACGUGGUGCAGCUCCCAUGGGGAAUAUCAGUUGUGUCUCUACCAAGGAUGCAGAGAAAGACAAGAUUCAGGCUUGUUUCCAGGAAGAAACCCUGACAGAAAUUCAGAAGAACGGGAGCUGCAUUCAGUUAGGAUGUGGAUAUAUGAAAUGCUUGUCUCAGGACCUUCUAGAAGAAUGAGCUGGGACCCACGUUCCAAGUCCUGCUGGAACCAGAGACUGAGGUUGACAAUUCUUUGUGAUCAGAAGUGGGAUCCAGAGAAGACCACAACUGCUCCAGAGCUGGCUAGCAAACGGAAUUUAUGGAUCAAAAUCAUCCCAUCUUUUCAGAAUGCAUCCCACAGGAGUAUUGGCCUUGGUUGGGGAAUUACCCAUCUAUAGGAAAAGGAAGAAGAGGCAUCCCUUAUCUUAAUUUUCCAUAGCUGGCCAGGAGAAGCCUCAUGUCCUGACCCUGCUAGUUGGACAGGAGAAGAAGCCUCAUUUCCUGGCCCUGCAUUUUGUCUGGCUAUUCGACUGGCAGCCAAAAGCUUUGUCCAUCUCAUGAGAUGCUGGGAGCAGUCACUCUUAUCCAAGCUUGACCCUACCUCCGAGAAUUGACCUUCUCUUCCCUGAUUUCUCUUAUCCCUCUGUUUUUCCCCUGCAGGACUUUGGGGGUAUCGACUACGACCAAGCAAGACUUCCCUUGUUGUAGAAGGAUGCACUAAUUUUAUUUUGGCCCAACAGUAAUUGUCCUUACAAAUAUAUUUUAAAAGGCUUGCGAAAACUAUUUUUUGUAAGGAUAAAAUUGGCUGCCAAGAGGGCUAAGAGGGACAAAGUAGAAGUCUAUUUCCUUGCCUUUUCAGCAAUGCCCACAGAAAUAUGUUCCAGCCAUUUAGAGUAUCUAGGUUGUUACAAAUUGGCAGACACUGGGCUAAGUAUAGCAAAAUGGCUCCUAUGUAUUCUAGUACAAGCCCUUUAUAUAUUAUAGUGAUCUAUCCCUUAAAUGGCACAGGCAUCCAUUCCUGUUCCAAACAGAAACAACCAAAAUGUGGAGCAUUUGGAGUCUGGCAGCGAGGACACUGUCACCACCUCCCCAGCCUUUGGAUCAAAGGAGGGGAAAUUUCAACCAAGGCUUGAAUAAAACAAAUCAAAAGGGCAUGCUG
Acinonyx jubatus (cheetah) is the source of this 5843-nucleotide long non-coding RNA. RefSeq lists it as uncharacterized. Lineage: Eukaryota; Metazoa; Chordata; Mammalia; Carnivora; Felidae. The record is from RefSeq and is a predicted model, not a curated record. The transcript has 4 exons.